This 73-nucleotide transfer RNA is filed under the name Streptomyces griseus. RNAcentral describes it as "tRNA-Ala(cgc)". The record is from RNAcentral. RNAcentral also lists the same sequence under 4 other names. Lineage: Bacteria; Bacillati; Actinomycetota; Actinomycetes; Kitasatosporales; Streptomycetaceae.
CCGGCUGUGCCGGCCGGGGCGCUCGCGGCCGCCUCGCACGCCGCCGUGGCGGGUUCGGCCCGCGCCUGCCGGG